UAUCCUACGGGAGGCAGCAGUGGGGAAUCUUCCACAAUUUUCUAAAUCCUUAUUUAGCAACUCCUCUUUUUUUAAGAAGGUCUUCGGAUCGUAAAACCCUGUUGUUAGAGAAGAAAGUGCGUGAGAGUAACUGUUCACGUUUCGACGGUAUCUAACCAGAAAGCCACGGCUAACUACGUGCCAGCAGCCGCGGUAAUACGUAGGUGGCAAGCGUUAUCCGGAUUUAUUGGGCGUAAAUUUAACUCAUUCGUUCUUUUAAGUCUGAUGUGAAAGCCUUCGGCUUAACCGGAGUAGUGCAUUGGAAA
RNAcentral lists this ribosomal RNA (305 nucleotides) under uncultured bacterium. Its description in RNAcentral is "bacterial SSU rRNA". It matches the Rfam family "Bacterial small subunit ribosomal RNA", at positions 335 to 632 of the family's 1533-position model. The record is from RNAcentral.